UACGGGGGGAGCAAGCGUUGUUCGGAUUUACUGGGCGUAAAGGGCUCGUAGGCGGCCAACUAAGUCGGAUGUGAAAUCCCCAAGCUUAACUUGGGAACUGCAUCCGAUACUGGAUGGCUUGAAUCCGGGAGAGGGAUGCAGAAUUCCAGGUGUAGCGGUGAAAUGCGUAGAUAUCUGGAGGAAUACCGGUGGCGAAGGCGGCAUCCUGGACCGGCAUUGACGCUGAGGAGCGAAAGCUAGGGGAGCAACGGG
This 252-nucleotide ribosomal RNA is filed under the name uncultured bacterium. RNAcentral's name for it is "partial 16S ribosomal RNA". It matches the Rfam family "Bacterial small subunit ribosomal RNA", at positions 524 to 775 of the family's 1533-position model. The record is from RNAcentral.